GAAAGUACAUAUAUGUUCAUGAUUCUUUAAUUAUUUCUCAUAUAAAUCUGCUUGACAAUGUGACAAAUAUUACAGUUACACAAUAACGUAACUCACUUGAUUAACAUAUAUUUGAACUUGAAUAAGAAAAAUAUAUUAAAAUGAUAACAAUUUUUCUGGUAAAAAUGGUUAUGUAAUUGUUUAAGGACCAAGAAUAGGAGUCAACUUCUCUACACUAUUUAGGUACAUACUUGUGGAUCAUAAAGGACUCGACUUCCUUUAUAAAUCAAAUAGAAGACACUACUUAAUUAUAGAUACUCUAUAAUGCAGAAACUAUUUAAACGUAUAAAUACGUGAUAGCAAGAAAAUAGAAGUGCUAGAUUUACCAUAUGAGAUGAUGUUUAUGAGAAAUAUGCACACAAAUAUAAAGAAUAAAUAAGAAAUAUUGUCAAUUAUGAUCUAAUAUUUUUUUACUUCUCCCUAGUAGUACCCAUCCUUUUUGCUCUGUUGUGACUCAACUAUCAACUUUUGGAUUGAAAGUGAGAGUGUUUAUACAUAUGGAUACAUGCAUAAAUCUAUCAUUCAAUUUUCUAUCCUUUUAUUUUCCUUAUAAUUGUAUUUCCUUUCUUACCUCUCCUCCUCAGUCCUCAAUCCUCACCCAUCAUUCACACUCACCAAAUGCAACAUAUACGUCCAAAAGUACUACUGGGAGAGAAAAAAGAGAAGGAUCUCAACUACAUAGAGAAAUUCUCUAAAAAGUUAACCAUGUAUAAAAAAGGAUAAUCUUGAAAAAAAUGUAAAGUAAAACAACAUGAAACAAUUAUGACACAACGAAUUAGUCAAUGUAGAGGCCAAAUUAUAAGAAGAUAAAAGAAGAAGAUACCUUUGCUAUGUAUCUUAGUACGUAUACUAUAUGAGUUGAAAUAUAAGACCAAAACCUAUUUUGGUACUUUUAAUAACCUGUCAAACAGUUAGAAGAAGAGGAGAAGGUGUAUGAAAGGAUGGUCUUUUCAUCUCCCAUUUAUUUGAUUUAAGUGUGUUUUAAUUCUAAUAGAUGUCUCUAACAGAUAGUGUUUCCUCACUAACUGCUCCAUUAGAAAUUUUCAAUUUUGUUUCUUCAUUAAUUGAUUAAUGCAAUUAGAAAUAAGAUAAAUAAAAAAACAAACAUAAAAAGUCCAAAAAUAGAAGAGAAUAGAUAAAUAGGAAUGGAGGUCAUAGAGAGGAGCCACAUCACCUCCUCUAUGAUCCUCCUUUAUAUAUAUAUAUAUGAUUGGCUUAAGUCAUCUGUAACCACUAAAGUUGUCCGUAGAUUUCACAUGGACACCUCAUCUUAGACUUAUUUCAAUUGAACACUUUUAUUAGUAAAAAAAAUUACCUAUUAAACAUUUUUUGACAAUCAACUAAAAAUAGAAAUUGUGUGUUAUACCUUCUCGGUGAUGUGGCAUAGUAACUAAUCAGAAAAGGACAUGUGGCAUUGGGCCCAUAAUAAUAAUUAGAAUAUAUAUUAAAAAUAAAAUAAAAUAAAAAUUUGUUUUCAGCCAAAACAAGAAAAAGAGAUACUUUUCUCCGCUUCUUCUUCUUCGCCAAAACAUACUAGGCACCGAC
Molecule: long non-coding RNA, 1584 nt
Filed under: Solanum tuberosum (potato)
Lineage: Eukaryota; Viridiplantae; Streptophyta; Magnoliopsida; Solanales; Solanaceae
Description: long non-coding RNA (STUB_LNC010060)
Source: RNAcentral